UACAGAGGUCUCAAGCGUUGUUCGGAUUCAUUGGGCGUAAAGGGUGCGUAGGCGGCGCGGUAAGUCGGGUGUGAAAUCCCUCGGCUCAACCAAGGAAGUGCAUCCGAAACUGCUGUGCUUGAGUACUUAAGAGGAUCGCGGAAUUCCCGGUGUAGAGGUGAAAUUCGUAGAUAUCGGGAGGAACACCAGUGGCGAAGGCGGCGAUCUGGGAAGAUACUGACGCUGAGGUGCGAAAGCGUGGGGAGCAAACAGG
This 253-nucleotide ribosomal RNA is filed under the name uncultured bacterium. RNAcentral's name for it is "partial 16S ribosomal RNA". It matches the Rfam family "Bacterial small subunit ribosomal RNA", at positions 524 to 776 of the family's 1533-position model. The record is from RNAcentral.